AUGCCGCCACCGCCCGAUCCAAGGAUCAGAGUUUCCCCCGGAGCUGCACGACGGGCCGUGAGCGCCGCGACGACGCCUUCAAGAAGAGAACGAGCUUGGCCGCUGCCGGUCCGCCCGAAGACAGAACAGUUUUUCACCCCGGCCAACACUCACCGCCACCAAACGCCACACUCCGGCUACCACGCUGCCCACACGCCAUGGCCACCAGGCAGCACCAAAGCCACGGUCUCUGCCCAAGAGCAUUGUGCUACCGCCUCCAGGGCCACCGCCCCGGCAUCCAAGACCUUGACACCACCUCACCCGAGACCCGCCGCGACCCCGAUCAGAGGGACGGGCGGAAAGGUCCCACCUUUCGCACCCCUGGCAACCCCCAGCGUCGAGACCCAAUAG
Molecule: ribosomal RNA, 390 nt
Filed under: Triticum aestivum (bread wheat)
Lineage: Eukaryota; Viridiplantae; Streptophyta; Magnoliopsida; Poales; Poaceae
Description: partial small subunit ribosomal RNA
Source: RNAcentral